ACCAGGUAUGGUGGCACAUGCCUGUAAUCCCAGCAACUGGGGAGGCUGAGGCAGGAAGAUUAUGUGUUCAAGACCAGCCUGGACAACUUAGUAAGACUCUGUCUCAA
This 107-nucleotide small RNA is filed under the name Marmota monax (woodchuck). The record is from RNAcentral. Lineage: Eukaryota; Metazoa; Chordata; Mammalia; Rodentia; Sciuridae.